UGAGGAAUAUUGGUCAAUGGGCGUAAGCCUGAACCAGCCAAGUCGCGUGAGGGAUGAAGGUUCUAUGGAUCGUAAACCUCUUUUAUAAGGGAAUAAAGUGCGGGACGUGUCCCGUUUUGUAUGUACCUUAUGAAUAAGGAUCGGCUAACUCCGUGCCAGCAGCCGCGGUAAUACGGAGGAUCCGAGCGUUAUCCGGAUUUAUUGGGUUUAAAGGGUGCGUAGGCGGCCUUUUAAGUCAGCGGUGAAAGUCUGUGGCUCAACCAUAGAAUUGCCGUUGAAACUGGGGGGCUUGAGUAUGUUUGAGGCAGGCGGAAUGCGUGGUGUAGCGGUGAAAUGCUUAGAUAUCACGCAGAACCCCGAUUGCGAAGGCAGCCUGCCAAGCCAUGACUGACGCUGAUGCACGAAAGCGUGGGGAUCAAAC
RNAcentral lists this ribosomal RNA (421 nucleotides) under uncultured Parabacteroides sp. RNAcentral describes it as "bacterial SSU rRNA". It matches the Rfam family "Bacterial small subunit ribosomal RNA", at positions 355 to 773 of the family's 1533-position model. Lineage: Bacteria; Pseudomonadati; Bacteroidota; Bacteroidia; Bacteroidales; Tannerellaceae. The record is from RNAcentral.